Long non-coding RNA from Camelina sativa (false flax), 492 nucleotides. RefSeq lists it as uncharacterized. Lineage: Eukaryota; Viridiplantae; Streptophyta; Magnoliopsida; Brassicales; Brassicaceae. The record is from RefSeq and is a predicted model, not a curated record.
GUUAAGUAAGUGAUGGUUCACUAGUGACUUUUGGUCACAUAUAAGAAGUGAGCGAACAUCAUUUUAAUAUGUCGUAACAAAACAAAAGAACAACAAAAGAAAACAUAGAAAGAGAAGAGUGUGGAUUCCUUGUCCAUCAAAGGAAUCAUAAGAGAGAAAGGUCAAAGGAAGGAGAAAAUCAAUUUGAAGACUUGGAUCCAUCAUCAAGCAUAACCAAGCAAUGGAUCAAGAACACAACAUACAACAAAAGGAUCAUUGCAAUGGAUGUGCUAACAAGUAGUAAUAAAUGGACGUUGGGCAUGACAAGAUUGGUUGGAAGAUGGAGUUGUCUUGUGUAAUGUGUUGUCUCUUGUCAUCUCUACUGUCUUUUGUUUUGUGUUUUACAUACUAUAUCAAUUGAACAUUUCCAGUUGUACGUACGUAAAUAUAUAGUAGCAUAAAAUUCACACAUGCAUUUUUUUUCUUAGAAACAAUAUUGGAAAAUUUAAAAUC